GAGAGGUGCGUGGAGAUGCGACCUCUCUCGUGUCCGACAGUGGGUGCCCCCUCGGCUCUGGCUGGUCGCCGGACCCCGGCCCGGAGGGUGGGUGACGCGAGCCCUUUGCUGCCACCAGCUUGCGGCUUCGGUCCCCGCCCCGGGAUGGUAACAAAGCUCCGCCAGGGGAGGGAGGCCCCUCCUUGGGGCCUGGGACUUCAGGAACCGCUCCCCGCCUAGCAGCUGGGGCUUGGAGGACCGAGGAGGCCCAGGGGACGUGGGCCGACGCGGGCACCAAGUUGAGGGUAUUCUCAGAAAACGAGAACUCUCCAGCCGCCGGCGAUUGAGGGAAGGCACGCGACGAUUAUUUCCUCCUGCUCCUCGCGGAUGAGAACUGUGUGAGUGACCUCAGUUAGGCGGAUCCAGGUGAGCUUACUGGGACGUGUGUGGCUGGAUGAACAUCUCAUUUCAUUUCUGCCUGAUUUUCUGUGCCUGAAAUAUAAUUGUUUUGUUUUCGGACCUUCCAGGUUUGUUUGGUUUAAUCCUUAACCACGUGAUUUUUGAAUGAGGACCCGCGUAAGACCCUGUUUGGAACGGGGGUCAAUAAAAGGAGUCAGACCCUGAGGAGACUUCUCGUGCACUUUGUGGUUUCUGUGCCCAGUGAUGGUGUGUCUGAACGUGUCGCCUCUGCUGCCGUGCUGUGGGAACGGGGGACGGUCUGCCAGAGCCACUCGCCCUUCUCUUAGGAAGUGUGAGCGCCUGGGGCACGCCUCAGCCUGAACUGUCAAGGAAGGGGGACACGUGGAGGGAGGUGGUCGUUGUCGAUAAUCCAGCCGGAAGGGGGGUGGCCACCGUGUUGAGAAGGAGCACUUCACUUUGGGUGGAGUUUGCCAGACCCGACUGCUGACCUCAGGCAUGGUCACCGGGAGCUGCCAGCCCUGCCCAUCUCCGCCCAUCUCUGCUUCCUCGCCUGCAUUGCUCAUCCCAUCCGGCCUCUUGGUUCAGCCUGAAACCAGGUCCACACUUCACCAAGGGCACUGCCAGCCUUCUGCAGGGGUGAGCCGCUCCGUGCCUCGGGGUCUCAGCACGGGGCUGCCUGGCACUCACAUACCCUUUGUGCCACCUGUACCCAUAUCUUAGUCCCCAGGGUGCUGUUGGCAACACCCUGGGCCUGCGAAACAGCCUCGGAGCCUCAGUGGGGUUUGCUGUCGGCUCUUGUGUUUUGACCCUUGUAGUUUUCACAUUUGGGCCACUCCCGGAUCCCAGAGCAUGCAGCUCAGUACAGGUGGCGUCAUGUUCUUCCGCAUGCUUGUCUUUAGAGGGAGAAGGUGUAAUAAUCACCUAGGUUAACGUGAAGAUGUGACGUAUCCUGCAGGAAACAGUAUAUAUUGGUAUUUCUGGAAUAAAUUUGGAUGCCCUGUUGCUGCCUCUUUCUCCUGUGGUGUUUUUCUCGAGUGCAGAUGUUCACUUCCCACUGGCUCCGGGCAGGGCCUUGUCUGUCUGUCCGUCCUUGGUGUCGGUCUGGUCGAGCAGCUGUGGGGCCCCGUGCCUGCAGACUUGGUGGGGGAGUCAGGUCAGCCUUCGGUUUGGUAGGUUAAUCAGAAGCGUUACAUUCCAGGCUCUUCAGCAGUUAUUACUGUGUUUCCCC
This is a long non-coding RNA of Rhinolophus ferrumequinum (greater horseshoe bat), 1627 nucleotides long. RefSeq lists it as uncharacterized. The record is from RefSeq and is a predicted model, not a curated record. The transcript is spliced from 3 exons. NCBI's taxonomy places the organism in Eukaryota, Metazoa, Chordata, Mammalia, Chiroptera, Rhinolophidae.